This 559-nucleotide ribosomal RNA is filed under the name uncultured bacterium. RNAcentral describes it as "bacterial SSU rRNA". It matches the Rfam family "Bacterial small subunit ribosomal RNA", at positions 338 to 916 of the family's 1533-position model. The record is from RNAcentral.
CCUACGGGAGGCAGCAGUGGGGAAUAUUGCACAAUGGGCGAAAGCCUGAUGCAGCAACGCCGCGUGAGCGAUGAAGGCCUUCGGGUCGUAAAGCUCUGUCCUCAAGGAAGAUAAUGACGGUACUUGAGGAGGAAGCCCCGGCUAACUACGUGCCAGCAGCCGCGGUAAUACGUAGGGGGCUAGCGUUAUCCGGAAUUACUGGGCGUAAAGGGUGCGUAGGUGGUUUUUUAAGUCAGAAGUGAAAGGCUACGGCUCAACCGUAGUAAGCUUUUGAAACUGAGAAACUUGAGUGCAGGAGAGGAGAGUAGAAUUCCUAGUGUAGCGGUGAAAUGCGUAGAUAUUAGGAGGAAUACCAGUUGCGAAGGCGGCUCUCUGGACUGUAACUGACACUGAGGCACGAAAGCGUGGGGAGCAAACAGGAUUAGAUACCCUGGUAGUCCACGCCGUAAACGAUGAGUACUAGGUGUCGGGGGUUACCCCCCUCGGUGCCGCAGCUAACGCAUUAAGUACUCCGCCUGGGAAGUACGCUCGCAAGAGUGAAACUCAAAGGAAUUGACGG